UACGAAGGGGGCUAGCGUUGCUCGGAAUCACUGGGCGUAAAGCGCACGUAGGCGGACUCUUAAGUCAGGGGUGAAAUCCUGGAGCUCAGCUCCAGAACUGCCUUUGAUACUGGGAGUCUUGAGUUCGGGAGAGGUGAGUGGAACUGCGAGUGUAGAGGUGAAAUUCGUAGAUAUUCGCAAGAACACCAGUGGCGAAGGCGGCUCACUGGCCCGAUACUGACGCUGAGGUGCGAAAGCGUGGGGAGCGAACAGG
This 253-nucleotide ribosomal RNA is filed under the name uncultured bacterium. RNAcentral describes it as "partial 16S ribosomal RNA". It matches the Rfam family "Bacterial small subunit ribosomal RNA", at positions 524 to 776 of the family's 1533-position model. The record is from RNAcentral.